GACGAACGCUGGCGGCGUGCUUAACACAUGCAAGUCGAGCGGUAAGGCCCUUUCGGGGGUACGACGAGCGGCGAACGGGUGAGUAACACGUGGGUGACCUGCCCUCAGCUCUGGGAUAAGCCUGGGAAACCGGGUCUAAUACUGGAUAUGACUCCAUGACGCAUGUUGUGGGGUGGAAAGCCUUGUGCGGCUGAGGAGUGGGCCCG
RNAcentral lists this ribosomal RNA (206 nucleotides) under uncultured bacterium. RNAcentral's name for it is "partial 16S ribosomal RNA". It matches the Rfam family "Bacterial small subunit ribosomal RNA", at positions 28 to 233 of the family's 1533-position model. The record is from RNAcentral.